Long non-coding RNA from Homo sapiens (human), 850 nucleotides. Ensembl annotates it as mir-99a-let-7c cluster host gene. Its record names the gene MIR99AHG. The record is from Ensembl. Lineage: Eukaryota; Metazoa; Chordata; Mammalia; Primates; Hominidae.
GGCAGCUUCUGCUAGUGUUUAGGUACUAGUGCAGUGUAGAACCCUUUUCUCAGGCAAAACCUAACAUCUGACCGCACCCUUUUUGCUAUUAAAAAAAAAAAAAAGCUUCUAUUUUUUUCCUCCUGUCGUUAAGAUAAAUUCUCCAGUAGACAACCUCUCCCACUAAUUGUGUAUUAGCAACGUAUUUUAUCUUGAGAGCUUGUACACUGGGCUCUCAACGUGGUGUGGAAGGUAGCCUGUUACAGUGCUGGAUUCAUAAAAGGGCCUUUAUGGUUUGUGAAAGAAUAUCUGUGUGCUUAGGGAGGAAACUUUUUGAUCUGCAGAAAAGCCAGAAGACAUCUAGGACAUCCAUAAAAAUUCAUCAGAGAGCAUUUUACUACUGAGCUGCAAAGGGAAAAACUUAAAAUGGAUAUGAAAAGUGAAGAAAGUGAUCAUAGGAGAAAACCAUUUCAGAUGACAAGAGCACCUCAAAGGCAGCAGCCUCAAGGAGCAGCCAUGGCCCCAGACUUGUCGCACGGAUGCAGAAAACUUAAUGGAGGAGGCUGAGCAAGAUUUCUUCAUAAAUAAUAUUGUAUGUGUUCAUGAAAAUAGAAAUAAAAAUAGAAAUAAAGAAGAAAUAACAGAAAAAGGACAGAAAUUGUUAAAAUUUUUUUAUGAAAACAGAUAGUAAAUAACAUUGUAAUAAAUCCCAACAGAACAUAGAGAACCUGACUUUAUUGACGUUAGUGGGAGGAGGUUUGUGAUUUUAAAACUAUAUAUUAUGGUUAUGUCAUCUAAAAAUCAAAUAUUCAAGCACAUAUAUUAAAAUUAGUCAUCAUUACAUUUUUCCAAAAUAAAAAAUAAAACUAAA